Molecule: ribosomal RNA, 1065 nt
Filed under: Triticum aestivum (bread wheat)
Lineage: Eukaryota; Viridiplantae; Streptophyta; Magnoliopsida; Poales; Poaceae
Description: partial small subunit ribosomal RNA
Source: RNAcentral
AUGGCGUCGACCAUCGUCGCGCAGGCCGUGUCCGGGUCGCACGUCCUCACGGUUGACGGCUACUCCCGCACCAAGGGGCUCGACACCGGCAAGUUCAUCAAGUCUGGAACGUUCGACGUCGGCGGCCAUCGCAGGUGUAUCCUGUACUACCCCGACGGUAGAAGCUCAGAUGACGCCGAUUUCAUAUCCAUUAAUCUACGUCUCGAUCACACCGAUGCCGACGAGGUCAAGGCACAGUUCAAGAUUAGUUUGGUCGAUCAGCACGGGGAAUCAAGGACAUCAUACAGCAACGAAAGCCAGGUAUGCGCCUUUAGAGUAACAGAAGGACCAUGGGGCUUCGGCGUAAUCAAACGCAAGGACUUGGAGGGGUCUGUGUACUUGAGGGAUGAUGUCUUGAGCAUCAGGUGCGAUGUAACGGUGUCAAAGGAGAUCAUCACCGAGCUCACCGCUCCGGCGGUCCUGGUGCCACCGUCAGACAUGCACCACCAUCUCGCCCGGCUCCUCUCCGCCGGCGAGGGCUCGGACGUCACCUUCGAGGUCGGCGGCGAGACGUUUCCCGCGCACAGGUACAAGCUCGCCGCCCGGUCCUCCGUCUUCAGGGCGGAGCUCCUUGGACCGAUGAAGGAAAAGACCGCAACUCGCAUACAAAUCAACAACAUGGAUGCCAAAGUGUUCAGAGCCUUGCUCCACUUCAUCUACACCGACUCAUUUCCAGAGAUGGACGAGGGUGACGCGACGGUGAUGGCUCAGCAUCAGCUCGUGGCGGCGGACAGGUAUGACAUGGAGCGACUCAAGCUGAUCUACGAGGAGAGGCACUGCAGCCGCCUCUGCAGAAGCAUGGUGGCGACAACGUUGGGAUUGGCCGAGCAGCAUGGUUGUGGUGCGCUCAAGAAGGCUUGUUUCGGGUUCCUCACUUCUCCGGGGAACCUGAAGGCGGUCAUGGCGAGCGAGGGCUUUCAGCAUCUGAGGAGCAGCUGCCCCUCUGUUCUCGAGGAGUUUGUUGGCGUCCUGGAAACGGGGGUCCCCAAACUUGCCUGCCUGCGGCCCACGGCAUGGCUGAGCUAG